GGCUGGUCCAAAGGCAGCUAGUUAUCUCAGCUGAUUGUUCACAGUCAGUCACGGAUUGAAGUCUUUGUUGAACUCUUUCCCUCCUUCUCAUUACUGUACUUGACCAGUCUAAA
Cercocebus atys (sooty mangabey) is the source of this 113-nucleotide unclassified non-coding RNA. It matches the Rfam family "Y RNA". From Rfam's summary of the family: Y RNAs are components of the Ro ribonucleoprotein particle (Ro RNP), in association with Ro60 and La proteins. The Y RNAs and Ro60 and La proteins are well conserved, but the function of the Ro RNP is not known. The record is from Ensembl. Lineage: Eukaryota; Metazoa; Chordata; Mammalia; Primates; Cercopithecidae.